This 234-nucleotide ribosomal RNA is filed under the name uncultured Eubacteriales bacterium. RNAcentral describes it as "uncultured Clostridiales bacterium partial 16S ribosomal RNA". It matches the Rfam family "Bacterial small subunit ribosomal RNA", at positions 99 to 334 of the family's 1533-position model. Lineage: Bacteria; Bacillati; Bacillota; Clostridia; Eubacteriales. The record is from RNAcentral.
CGGACGGGUGAGUAACGCGUGAGUAACCUGCCUUACACAAGGGGAUAGCCGUUGGAAACGACGAAUAAUACCCUACGAUGUUUCUAUCUCGCAUGAGAUAUUAACCAAAGUGUUAGCGGUGUAAGAUGGACUUGCGUCUGAUUAGCUAGUUGGUGAGAAAAAGCCCACCAAGGCAACGAUCAGUAGCCGGCUUGAGAGAGUGUACGGCCACAUUGGGACUGAGACACGGCCCAG